Molecule: ribosomal RNA, 234 nt
Filed under: uncultured bacterium
Lineage: Bacteria
Description: partial 16S ribosomal RNA
Rfam family: Bacterial small subunit ribosomal RNA
Source: RNAcentral
GAUCAUUGGCUCAGAAUGAACGCUAGCGGCAGGCUUAACACAUGCAAGUCGAGGGGCAGCGGGGUGUAGCAAUACACUGCCGGCGACCGGCGCACGGGUGCGUAACGCGUAUGCAACCUACCCAUAACAGGGGCAUAACACUGAGAAAUUGGUACUAAUUCCCCAUAACAUUCGAAGAGGCAUCUCUUUGGGUUGAAAACUCCGGUGGUUAUGGAUGGGCAUGCGUUGUAUUAG